This 909-nucleotide ribosomal RNA is filed under the name uncultured Nitrospirales bacterium. RNAcentral's name for it is "bacterial SSU rRNA". It matches the Rfam family "Bacterial small subunit ribosomal RNA", at positions 28 to 896 of the family's 1533-position model. Lineage: Bacteria; Pseudomonadati; Nitrospirota; Nitrospiria; Nitrospirales. The record is from RNAcentral.
AACGAACGCUGGCGGCGUGCCUAACACAUGCAAGUCGAACGGGGCUUGUCGGGCCCACCGUGGUUCCGGGCUUCCUUCUGUAGUAGUGGGGGGGGGGUUCGGGGUUGUGGUGGGUCUGGCAAGCUUAGCGGCGCACGGGUGAGUAACACGUAGGCAACCUACCCCUGGGGGGGGGACAACUCCGGGAAACCGGGGCCAAUACCGCGUAAGACCACGGGCUGGAAUGUCUGUGGCAAAAGGAGCAAUCCGCCUGGGGAUGGGCCUGCGGCCUAUCAGGUAGUUGGCGGGGUAACGGCCCACCAAGCCAAAGACGGGUAGCCGGUCUGAGAGGAUGGACGGCCACACUGGAACUGAGACACGGUCCAGACUCCUACGGGAGGCAGCAGUGGGGAAUUUUGCGCAAUGGGGGAAACCCUGACGCAGCGACGCCGCGUGGAGGACGAAGGCCUUCGGGUUGUAAACUCCUUUUAGAGGGGAAGAUGAUGACGGUACCCUCUGAAUAAGCCACGGCUAACUCUGUGCCAGCAGCCGCGGUAAGACAGAGGUGGCAAGCGUUGUUCGGAAUUACUGGGCUUAAAGGGCGCGUAGGCGGUAGGGCAAGUCCGGUGUGGAAUCCUGCGGCUCAACCGCAGAAUUGCAUUGGAAACUGCCUUACUGGAGUCAGCGAGGGGAGGGCGGAAUUCCUGGUGUAGCAGUGAAAUGCGUAGAUAUCAGGAGGAAGGCCGGUGGCGAAGGCGGCCCUCUGGCGCUAGACUGACGCUGAGGCGCGAAAGCGUGGGGAGCAAACAGGAUUAGAUACCCUGGUAGUCCACGCCCUAAACGGUGGGCAUUAGGUGUUGGGCCCGCGAGGGUUCAGUGCCGUAGGGAAACCAUUAAGUGCCCCGCCUGGGGAGUACGGCCGCAAGGUUA